Molecule: long non-coding RNA, 3451 nt
Filed under: Sus scrofa (pig)
Lineage: Eukaryota; Metazoa; Chordata; Mammalia; Artiodactyla; Suidae
Description: lncRNA (ENSSSCG00065060307.1)
Source: RNAcentral
GAUUUGAGUUUCCUUUAUUCUUCCCUGGUGGCUAGACUCAGCUUAAGCGUCCUGGAUGAGAGCAUCGCAUAGGUGACACUGCGAGCCCCCUGGGGGAAACAAAGGCUCAGAGAGAGGGAGUGACACGGUCACCACUGCUGGGCCUGGCUCCCACCCGCGGCUGCGGGGGCUCCGGUGGGUGGGUGCUGUCCGCCACCCGCAGGCCUGGGUGGCAGGGCUCCCACAGGGGGUUCCAGCCAGCCACUCAUCGCUCUGUCCCUUUCGUGGACUCGGGGCUCCUUGAAGUGUCAGCUUUUGCUUCGUCUGUGCGCUGGCUCGGGAGCCAGCAGGGAGCAGAGGGCCUGGGCAGCUGGCAGGACAGAAUGGGGCGCCCACGGAGCUCGUCAAGCUGCUCCCGAGGCCCUUGGUCCUCAGACAAAGUGGGGCUCAGGCCCGAGCUCCCGGAAGGGCUGGGGGUGGAGCAGCCAGAGUCCAGGCUGGAAUCUGCACAUCCUUUUCCUGGGAAGUGUCUCCAGAUGGAUGCAAGGGGUCCGGGCCGAGGCCCCCCGGGUGUCCUCAAGGUGGAGCCUCCCACCUCCCCCACCUCCACGGCCCUGGCUGCCUCCAGGCCCCAGCGCUGUGUGGUGAGGCGUGAGCCCCUUGCCCUCAGAAGCUGCCUAGCCCGGGAAGCUGGGUCAGCUGUCUGGCUUGGGGCCAUGGGCACAGUCUCAGGCAAGGGGGUGGGCUGGGGGGACCAUCAGGUGUCCUGCUGGGAUGACGACUUUAAUUAAUGUGCAAUAUGUCCUGUCUUGGACAAAGACGACCCAGCCAGACAGGUCUGGUUCACAGUCUGCUGUGUGGCCUUGGGCAAGAGAGUGAACCUCUCUGUGCCUCUCGUCUUCAUCUUUAACGUUCUAAGGCUAUAAGGGAGCGGAGGGUGAGGAACCAGCUUCUUUCUCUUCCUUCUCCUCUCCCUCCUUCCCCAUGUCCUGUGUCCUUGGGACCCAGGAGUCUGGCUGUCCCCAUAGGGCGCCAGGCCUGGCCUGAGGGCCAGCGGAAGCCCACUAAGCCCAAGGAGGGGUCUUUCCCAGCCAGGUGGGCGGGGAGGCCCCAUUCGGCUGGGGCAGCGGGCCACAAGCGGGUUCCAUGGCGACAAGUGAGGCCUGUCCCUGUCCUCCUCUCCCCGCCCCUCCCCCAAGCACAUCCCAGCUCCUCCGGCUUCAUUCUGGCCUCGGUUCACCAGCACUGAGAUGCUGGGGUGGGUGGUAGGUGGGGGGUGGACUGCGCUCCAGGGCCCCUCUAUGCCCCUGCCUUUGUCAAGGAGGGGGGCGUCUUUCCUGUGUCCCUUGUGCGCUUGGUCACUGCAAGGAACAGGCCAGCGAGGCCACCCCCACCUCCCCCAACCCCGUCCGUCUGCCUGGGGGUUUGCUCUGCUCUCUGAUUCUCCAAAGAAAAUUGACAGGUGGAGCCAGCAAGGUCAGCUCUGCCACCAACAGGUGUGUGGACCCUCAAAGGGCCACGGACAUCUUCUUUGUGCCCAGCGAGAGAUCACCAUCCGUCCGUCUGUCCAGGAUUCAGUCAACGAAACGUUUCGCGCGUGAAGCGUGCAGCUCAGCUUUGCUCCCAUCACUGACCCUGCAGCCUGUCCAGGUCCCCGGGGCCAUCGCCGGACUGUGGGAGUCAGACCACCUGGGUACUUGCUGGUCAUCUCCAGCGCGGGGUGUCCACAGGGGCUCCUGGGGACACCCCACGCUGUGCUGAGGUGCUGCCGGGGACCUGGCCAUCAGGCGCUUCAGCCUCGCCGCUCCUGGGGAUGCAGGGGCUGUUUGCCUGAGGGUCCGCCCAGCCCCAACACGACAAGGCCGGAGCUCUAGAUCCGUGGGCACAGUGCCCCUUCAUGGGGGGGGCGCGUCCCGGGAGCAAAGUCCCCAAGCGCGAGGCACCCUCUGCCUUGGGUAUCCUGGCCCAUUGUCUCCUAAGAAGAGCUUCCAAGCAGGGGAGGGGGUCCUGGUCCCCCACCGGCCCCCAUGGCCGCCCUCCUCUGCCUCUCCUUCCAAGGCCCCCAAGGGCCACUUCCCGCCACAGGUCUCCAAGAAUGCGGCCAGGGCACCCCUUCCCUCACCCCUAUUGUGUAAGGGACCCCAGCUGGAGGCGCCCCAGAGGAUGCCGUGGGACCCAGCCACACCCCAAGAGACCCUGGUGGAGGGUGCAGGGGUGCUUCAGACCCUCCCAAAGCACCCCCCACCUGCCGUCUCUGCACCCAGCAGUGGGGUGCCAAACCCUUCAAUUGUGUGAGGGACCCACAGCCCCGGCAGAUAUGUUCAUGCUAAUGGUUUUCAGACCCCCCCUGCACCCUGGCCCCCUCUUCCCAGCUGGCAGGCAUAGCCGUCAUGUGCAUGGCCGAGAAAAUUAUUAAUUCCCAUCCGUCAAGUUCACUUCUGGGAAAGUUUGCCAAUUAACUUGCAAGGUGCAAGAAUGAAAGGGGGAGGUGCCCAGAGGGAAAGGCAGAGGGAGGCAGGGGCCUGGGACAGUCCUUGCGGGGGUGGGGGGGCAUCGGGUGUGGAGUCCAUGCUCCUCAGGAGUUUGGGGGGCGAGGAGGAGCCAGGGCUGCUCCCCAAACCCCACGUGCCUGUGGCAGCGAGAAGAGGGAGGGGCAAAGCUGCAGGAUGCAUGCGUGCGUGGAGCCGUGUGUGUGUGUGUGUGUGUGUGUGUGUGUGUGUGUGUGUUAUGGGGGGCAGGGGGCAGGCUGGGCAGGCAGCCCUGGCUCGGACAGUGUCCACUAGUGGCCGACAAAGCUGGCGGUCUGGCGCUGAGUCUGAAAAGCAGGAGCGGGUGGCCAGGGCUACUGUGCCCGCCAGGCUUUCAGGUGCUCCAGUCCCAGCUCUGCUCCUUCAGGCACGUCCUUCCCCCUUUUCGGGGUGAAACCAGCCCCUCCACCUUCGAGGCUGGAUUCCAAACUCUCCCGCAGGCGUGCCCACCCCUCCAGCGGCUGCGGCUGGGCUGGGGAUGUGGCUGCCACCCUCAGGGCUCUCCAGGUGCCCGAGGUCUGCCUGUGGGCUGGGGGAGGGAGCGGGAGGAAACCAGAGAGACGCACCUGCGGGGGCUGUCUGGGCCCUCAGGCCUCGGCGGUGCAUAUGGUGCCCUGGCUUCGCACAGGGCGCGCUGGGACGGGACAGCUGGACCGUCCAGAGGCUGCAGAACCGACAUCUGAUCCCCACACGAGGUUGGGAGGAGGCGGAGGGCGCCGCGGCCGGGCACCUGAUUCCAGGGAGUCUCCAAAGGCCACGGGCUGGAUGCUGCUGGACCCGAGGAACCUGCCCAGCUGCACGCGAGGCGGCCUGGGGGCAGCGGCUGUGCCCAAGGUCCCAGGCUCCCAGGAGACAGUCCUGCCCGGCAGGCUUCCGGACGGAUGGACGGCUCGGGAAUGCUCUGGUCCCCUCUGCAGCCGCCGGGGACAGAAGGGCAAGGCCUC